Molecule: ribosomal RNA, 253 nt
Filed under: uncultured bacterium
Lineage: Bacteria
Description: partial 16S ribosomal RNA
Rfam family: Bacterial small subunit ribosomal RNA
Source: RNAcentral
UACGAAGGGGGCUAGCGUUGCUCGGAAUCACUGGGUUUAAAGGGUGCGUAGGCGGCUAUAUAAGUCAGUGGUGAAAGCUUCCCGCUUAACGGGAAAACUGCCAUUGAAACUGCAUAGCUUGAAUAUGGUUGAAGUGGAUGGAAUAUAUCAUGUAGCGGUGAAAUGCUUAGAUAUGAUGUAGAACACCGAUUGCGAAGGCAGUUCACUAAGCCAUCAUUGACGCUGAGGCACGAAAGCGUGGGUAGCGAACAGG